GUCCAUGCCGUAAACGAUGUCUACUAGCCGUUGGGGCCUUUGAGUCUUUAGUGGCGCAGCUAACGCGAUAAGUAGACCGCCUGGGGAGUACGGUCGCAAGGUUGAAACUCAAAGGAAUUGACGGGGACCCGCACAAGCGGUGGAUGAUGUGGUUUAAUUCGAUGCAACGCGAAAAACCUUACCCACCUUUGACAUGUACGGAAUCCUUUAGAGAUAGAGGAGUGCUCGAAAGAGAGCCGUAACACAGGUGCUGCAUGGCUGUCGU
This 265-nucleotide ribosomal RNA is filed under the name uncultured bacterium. RNAcentral's name for it is "partial 16S ribosomal RNA". It matches the Rfam family "Bacterial small subunit ribosomal RNA", at positions 793 to 1055 of the family's 1533-position model. The record is from RNAcentral.